UCUUCUUCUUCUUCUUCUUCUUCUUCAUUGUCGAAUUUUCCAACCAAGAAAAUAAUUAGAGAAAGAAAGAGGAGAGACGAUGGAAUGUGCCUGCGUUAGAAUUUUCUUGACUAAAGUGCGAAAUAUCAGUCAAAAUGACGGUGAGAAGAAAUGAAAGACAGAUGUCGGGAAAACAUGUCGUUUACGCGGCAUCUCGCGUCUCAAUUCGUUUUCGUUAUUGACACGUCAUCGUCCUCGUCCUCGUCCUUAUCCUCGACCACGUCCUUAUCAUCCUCGUCGUCAUCGUUGUCGUUGUCAUUGUUGUCGUCGUCGUCGUCGUCGUCGUCGUCGUCGUCGUCGUCGUCGUCGUCGUCGUCGCGAGUGCAACGAGAAAAUGCAAAACUUUGAGAAACUCGUACGCUCGUGGAAAAAUAUCCUCGAGGAAGAAGAAGAAGAAGAGGAAGAAGAAGAAGAAGAAGAAAAAGAAGAAAAGUCAACGAUAAUAAGUGACGAGGUUCGAUACGAUAAUCGUUCGUCGACGAAACGGCCGAAUUCGAACGCGUUUCUUCUAUGUCGAUUUAGUCUGGUUAACGCGACGACGCUUCGACGUGAGUGCGAUCGUCGUGUUGUCCGAAGUAACAUUUUCAUCUAUCGACGACGAUACAUCGUAGCGUGAGAGAUUUUUCGUCGGAUGCUGUACAAGCUUCUUCUGAUUUUUAUCUCCUUGGAGCAAAUAACAUUGGCUAGAAAAAGAAAGAGAGAGAGAGAGAGAGAGAGAAAGAGAGCAAAGAAUGAAACAAGCAACAUAUGCACGUAUAAGCGAGUAUGCACGCGCAGCACUUCCUUUUCCCACAAUCGACAAUCAUAUUUGUGUUCUAAAUAGUGUCUUCGUUUGGUAAACAAGACAAUAAGUACUAUGAAAUAGGGGGAGGAAAAAGGAGGAGGGAGAAAGAUAAUAAGAUACCGAGUUCGAAAUCGUAGCGAGUGCAAUCAACGAUUCUACGAGAAUAUUUUUCGCAUUUUCACGGAGGAUAGUGUCGACUGUUAUUACGUAGAGAUGGAGGAAACUGAGAGGAGGAGGAGGAAGAGAAGGAGGAAAUGCGUGUGCGAAAUCGUUCGAUAGUUUGAUGUUCGAAUUUAAUCGAAAGCCGUUCUGUGUCGUUCGAAAGAGUACGAGUGUAAAUUCGAAGCUCUCUAACGGGUGUUCGGUAAAUACUAAACUGCUCUUGCUACGAUUGCUACGAAUUUCGUAGGUCGUGUAUUUUUCUCCUCUUUUUUUUUUUCUUUUUUAUUUUUCUUUCUUUUCCUUUUUUUUUCGCGCGUGUGAAAGUGCUCUCCUGUCGAACAGCAGUAUCAGCAGCAGUAGCAAUAACAACAACAGCAACAACAACAAUAACAACAAGGCAAUAUGUGUUGCAGUGAUGACGCAGGAUGACUCUGAUAAAAGUGUUGAAUACGAUCGAAGUAAGUGAAGAAUUGGCUAUAUUCGAGAGUCUUCGCGAUACUUUUGUGCAGAGGACGUAUCAGGGAGUAUUAUCCUGCGUGAGUGAUUUCGAGAUGAGAAGAGAUUUGUGUGAGAGGAACGAGGAAACACGUGAAAAGAUGUAUAGAAAGAUGAAUAGAACGGUUACGCCGAAAGAAACGUUACUACGAUCGAGCGUGCGUUAAAAAUUGAAAGUUCGAACGAUUUUGAAAGAAGAAGCAGACGAAGAAAAUUGAAGAAGGGAGAGAAAGAGAGAGACGAUCAAAUUUGAUGCGUACGAUUGAUAUAUAAGAGCCUAAAGAAAAAGAAAAAGAAGAAUCGAUCGUCGAGAAUAUAUCGAGCGGCCUCUUGCUUCAAAAUGAUAUCCUGUGGAAUUGUCCGAUUAAGAUGAUCGAUGAAAAGAGAUUAUAUUUCAUUUAAAAGCGGCCGCGUAACGACGUAGAUAUAAUAAUACGUAUUUUAAUCGGACGCCGACUUUUUCCUUCUCAUCUUUUUCGAGGGAGGACGAACUUGCUAUAUCGGAGUUUACAAAGAGUGGUGGUGGUGUUUGUAGCGCUCGUUGAACGCGCGUCAUCUUAUAUAUUUCGCCUGUUCAACGCACAAAGAGCGAACGUAGUGCGAGAUAAUAGAGCUCGUAAAGUGAAUCCACGGCCAAAAAGCAUUUGCUUCUACUUCGAGGCAUACGAGAGAGAGAGAGAGAAAGGAGAGAGAGAAAUAGAGACCUUUUAGUAGAAACUAGAACGCGGUUGCGAAGUUUACCGAUCAAACUAUUCAAUCAGCUCCCUCGGUAUUCUUGCAAGAAGUUCGAUAUAACGUACCAAAUGCAUUCUACAAUGUUAGAUUGACGUUAGCCAGAGAGAUAUUCGCUGAGAUUGAGAAAAUUGAAAUUAAAUUUAAGAAGAAAGGAUACAAGAAGACGAAAAGCUCGCUCAGUAUAUAUAUACACACACACACACUAUCUUUUUCGAGUUUUUCUAUUUCUUUUUUUUCUCUUCCUAUCACGGAAGGAAAAAGAUAAUUUUGAAAGAGGAAGUAGCUGCGUCCAUGUAACAUAUCCCGAGCAAAUGCCGGCGUAUGUUAUAGAAAGAGAGAAAAAUCUAGUAGAUUUCCUUUUUCCAGCUCUAUACAAAUUUGCUAUAUGUAUCUCUGGGAAUAGAUUAGAUUUCUUACCUUUGCAUUCGAGAGUGCGGAGACGUCAUUCGUGUCGUUCGAGAACGCCUAAUAAGAACGGGGAACCAUACGAUUCCAUCGUAUCGUCUCUAAAAGAAAUUUAUGUGAAUUAAAGUGAAUCAUAUAAAGUGAGGAAGAAAGAUAAAGAAACAAAAUACGGUAUAGUAAAGAAAGAGAGAUACAGAGAAAAAAAGAGAGAGAGAGCGAGAGAGAAAGAGAGAGAGAGA
Vespula pensylvanica (western yellowjacket) is the source of this 2859-nucleotide long non-coding RNA. RefSeq lists it as uncharacterized. The record is from RefSeq and is a predicted model, not a curated record. The transcript has 2 exons. NCBI's taxonomy places the organism in Eukaryota, Metazoa, Arthropoda, Insecta, Hymenoptera, Vespidae.